RNAcentral lists this ribosomal RNA (478 nucleotides) under uncultured bacterium. Its description in RNAcentral is "SSU rRNA". It matches the Rfam family "Bacterial small subunit ribosomal RNA", at positions 26 to 518 of the family's 1533-position model. The record is from RNAcentral.
AGAAUCAACGCUGGCGGCGUGCCUCAGACAUGCAAGUCGAACGAUUAAAGCUCCCUUCGGGGAGUGCAUAAAGUGGCGCACGGGUGAGUAACACGUAAGUAAUCUACCUUCGAGUGGGGAAUAACGUUCGGAAACGGAAGCUAAUACCGCAUAAUGCAGCGGCAUCGCAAGAUGACAGUUGUUAAAGAUUUAUCGCUUGAAGAGGAGCUUGCGGCAGAUUAGCUAGUUGGUAAGGUAAUGGCUUACCAAGGCUACGAUCUGUAACCGGUCUAAGAGGACGGUCGGUCACACUGACACUGAAUAACGGGUCAGACUCCUACGGGAGGCAGCAGUCGGGAAUUUUGGGCAAUGGGCGAAAGCCUGACCCAGCAACGCCGCGUGAAGGAUGAAGUAUUUCGGUAUGUAAACUUCGAAAGAAUGGGAAGAAUCAAUGACGGUACCAUUUAUAAGGUCCGGCUAACUACGUGCCAGCAGCCGC